UGUCACACACCCAUCUUUUUAGAUGGACAGACAAUAAUUAGCCUGCGCUACGUAACGAUGUUCGCGUUCACUGUACGGUUCCCGGAAUACGGUCAGACCCCAGCAACCAAACCACGCAAGUGGUUUGUGGCUCGAGAGUGGUUUGAUUGAUAUUUCUAUAGAGUUUCGGUGGCCAUAGCGUCGGGGAAACACCCAGUCUCCAUUCCGAACCUGGAAGUUAAGCCCGCCAGCGCCGAUGGUACUGCGACCGGGAGGUCGUGGGAGAGUAGGACGCCGCCGGAC
RNAcentral lists this ribosomal RNA (282 nucleotides) under Kribbella sp. VKM Ac-2566. The record is from RNAcentral. Lineage: Bacteria; Bacillati; Actinomycetota; Actinomycetes; Propionibacteriales; Kribbellaceae.